GACGAACGCUGGCGGCGUGCCUAAUACAUGCAAGUAGAACGCAGUUGCGAACGGGUGAGUAACGCGUAGGUAACUGCCUGGUAGCGGGGGAUAACUAUUGGAAACGAUAGCUAAUACCGCAUACUACCAGAUGGACCUGCGUUGUAUUAGCUAGUUGGUGGGGUAACGGCUCACCAAGGCAACGAUACAUAGCCGACCUGAGAGGGUUGUCGGCCACACUGGGACUGGGGCACGGGCCAGACUCCGUAGGGAGGCAGCAGUAGGGAAACUUCGGAAAUGGGCGGAAGUCUGACCGAGCAAAGCCGCGGGAGUGAAGAAGGUUUUCGGAUCGUAAAACUCUGUUGUAAGAGAAGCGGUAUCUUACCAGAAAGGGACGGCUAACUACGUGCCAGCAGCCGCGGUAAUUC
This 407-nucleotide ribosomal RNA is filed under the name uncultured bacterium. Its description in RNAcentral is "partial 16S ribosomal RNA". It matches the Rfam family "Bacterial small subunit ribosomal RNA", at positions 28 to 526 of the family's 1533-position model. The record is from RNAcentral.